RNAcentral lists this ribosomal RNA (435 nucleotides) under uncultured bacterium. RNAcentral's name for it is "partial 16S ribosomal RNA". It matches the Rfam family "Bacterial small subunit ribosomal RNA", at positions 29 to 507 of the family's 1533-position model. The record is from RNAcentral.
AGCGAACGCUGGCGGCAGGCUUAACACAUGCAAGUCGAACGGGCAUAGCAAUAUGUCAGUGGCAGACGGGUGAGUAACGCGUGGGAACGUACCUUUUGGCUCGGAACAACACAGGGAAACUUGUGCUAAUACCGGAUAAGCCCUUACGGGAAAAGAUUUAUCGCCGAAAGAUCGGCCCGCGUCUGAUUAGCUAGUUGGUAGGGUAAUGGCCUACCAAGGCGACGAUCAGUAGCUGGUCUGAGAGGAUGAUCAGCCACAUUGGGACUGAGACACGGCCCAAACUCCUACGGGAGGCAGCAGUGGGGAAUAUUGGACAAUGGGCGAAAGCCUGAUCCAGCCAUGCCGCGUGAGUGAUGAAGGCCCUAGGGUUGUAAAGCUCUUUUGUGCGGGAAGAUAAUGACGGUACCGCAAGAAUAAGCCCCGGCUAACUUCGUG